GGCCUGUGGCUCAGUUGGUAGAGCAUGGUGUUUGCAACGCCAGGGUUGUGGGUUCGAUUCCCACAGGCUG
RNAcentral lists this transfer RNA (70 nucleotides) under Salmo salar (Atlantic salmon). It matches the Rfam family "tRNA". Rfam says of the family: Transfer RNA (tRNA) molecules are approximately 80 nucleotides in length. The record is from Rfam by way of RNAcentral. Lineage: Eukaryota; Metazoa; Chordata; Actinopteri; Salmoniformes; Salmonidae.